CAUUAACGAGUUAGGUGCUUCUUGCACCAACUUCCAACCCUUGCGAAUCAACUCUUUUGCUUGGUGGGCCGGGCUUGCCCCGCUGACUCCCAGCGAGUGCCCGCCAAAGUUUUUCAAAAAUCUGCUGAAACGUGUCGUCUGAAUACAAAUUAUCAAUUGACAAAAACUUUCAACAACGGAUCUCUUGGUUCUGGCAUCGAUGAAGAACGCAGCGAAAUGCGAUAAGUAAUGUGAAUUGCAGAAUUCCGUGAAUCAUCGAAUCUUUGAACGCACAUUGCGCCCUCUGGCAUUCCGGGGGGCAUGCCUGUUCGAGCGUCAUUUCACCUUCCAGCCGAGCUGGGUAUUGGGUAGUCCGCAGCAGUGGGCACCUUAAACUUAGGUGGAAGAAGCAGCCGAAAUCUUUAGCGCAGUGACACUUAUAAUCUCGCUCUAGGUCGGUUGGUGCUUUCCCAAAAUCUCUCGCUCCUAUGCCUAGGAUUGAGAGAUAUUUCCAAAGAUUGACCUCGGAUCAGGUAGGAAUACCCGCUGAACUUAA
RNAcentral lists this ribosomal RNA (535 nucleotides) under uncultured Ascomycota. Its description in RNAcentral is "eukaryotic LSU rRNA". The stretch from base 165 to 318 matches the Rfam family "5.8S ribosomal RNA". The record is from RNAcentral. Lineage: Eukaryota; Fungi; Ascomycota.